AAAGGUGUAGCUCAGUGGUAGAGGGUGUGCUUAGCAUGCAUGAGGUCCUGGGUUCAAUCCCCAGUACCUCCA
RNAcentral lists this transfer RNA (72 nucleotides) under Camelus bactrianus (Bactrian camel). It matches the Rfam family "tRNA". Rfam says of the family: Transfer RNA (tRNA) molecules are approximately 80 nucleotides in length. Their secondary structure includes four short double-helical elements and three loops (D, anti-codon, and T loops). The record is from Rfam by way of RNAcentral. RNAcentral also lists the same sequence under 1 other name. Lineage: Eukaryota; Metazoa; Chordata; Mammalia; Artiodactyla; Camelidae.